Molecule: ribosomal RNA, 645 nt
Filed under: Epicoma contristis
Lineage: Eukaryota; Metazoa; Arthropoda; Insecta; Lepidoptera; Notodontidae
Description: partial 28S ribosomal RNA
Source: RNAcentral
GGGGUAAACCUGCGAAACUCGAAUGAACGAACGGAGAGAUUCAUCGUCAUCCGCGGCGCGCGGGCGCGCGUCUCGAUGUCGCCGGCCUCGCGCCGGUCGGCACGUCGCGCGCCCGCCGGCCGUCCGCGGACGUCGUGCACUUCUCUCUCAGUAUACGUGCAUCGCGACCCGUUCGACGUCGGCCUAAGCGCCGCCCGGGAGCCCGGUCGCGCGCCCCUCGCGGGUCGCGACCGGACCGCUGGCGGACGCCGGCCGGCCGUCGGACGGUACCAACGUACGAAGCGCGCACGCGUUCCCAACGCGUCCGGCCCGACGCAAGUCAACGUCGUAUCCGUCGUACACCGCCCGAGCGCGGACGUCGGUGCGGCGCGUCUGCCGUCGCAGCCGUGUCACACAAGUCUCGGACUGUGCGCGUCUCCGUCUGCGAUGAUUCAGUUUCGGGCACUCGCAGGACCCGUCUUGAAACACGGACCAAGGAGUCUAGCAUGUAUGCGAGUCAUUGGGACUUUUACGCUAAACCGAAAGGCGCAACGAAAGUGAAGGCGCGCGCCAGUCGCGCGCUCAGGGAGGAUGGAGCGCCGGUCUAGGUCGGCCUCUCGCACUCCCGAGGCGUCUCGUUUCCAAUCUGCGAAUGCAGGCGCGCUC